Molecule: long non-coding RNA, 409 nt
Organism: Mauremys reevesii (Reeves's turtle)
Lineage: Eukaryota; Metazoa; Chordata; Testudines; Geoemydidae
Exons: 3
Source: RefSeq, a predicted model, not a curated record
GCUGAUCCUGAUCUGGUGGCAUAAGUGAGCACAGCUGUGAAAGGGCCAGGGCAGACGCAAGUGCAAGAGGGGAGAACGCGCUCAGGAAGGAGAUCCAGGAGAGUGGAGGGACCAAAGAUUUGUGUAGCAGAUUCUUCAAUCUCCCUUGUACAUUCUGAAUUUUGAAAGUUUCAGACAUGAACGAUUUCUAACAGGGGACUUAAAAAGCUUCAUCUGGAAAAGAGACUAUAGUGCUAACUUCUGUCCUACCGUACAAUAAAAAUCCAUGAGCUCCAGAAUGGCAAAUGACCACAACAGAAGAAAUGAAGAAUGUUUUGGGUUCUUACUUACAAAAACUGUUAUGCCAAUGCUGAUAAAGUGCCAUGAGGAAAUCUUUUAACCGAUGGGAACUUAAAUACCCACAUACAGG